AUUCAUACAAAUAAAAAAACUUUAACUAAAAACUAUCGAAAACUACAUAACUUCAAGAUCAAUCGAUAUUAUCUUGGUGUUUUAGAACAUUUUUGUGUAGCCAUCGAUAAUUGUUUGGUCUAAGCUGGUUGAUGGAUUAACUACCCAACACUUAUCGUGUCGACUGCACACAUCAGGUGGAUGUUUAGAAUUUUCCUGCAAAUGUAAAUAAAACUGGAGAAUAUGUCCGUUUUUUUUUUAUCGUUUUUCAUGUUAGAAAUGUAUAUGUAAUUUCAAUUACAAAUCAAAGGCGUACAUGUCAUUAAAAUUAUUCAUUACAAAUCAAAUAGUUCUACAAAUUUUAUCAUUCCUGUGUAAUUUUUUGUUUGUUAUUGUUAUUUUUGCUUUGUUUAGCACAUAUGUUGCAGUUGCAAUAUUUCGUUUGCGCCUUUACAGCCCUAUUGAAGAAGUAUAUACUUAAUAUUGAAUGACAUAUGAUUUUUAAACUUAUUCAAUUGAAUGAAAACAUAAAUAAUCUAAAAGAGGAUUUCGCUAUUGCAACAUGCAUCAGACAAAUUUAACGAAUCAUAAUAAUUUUUUU
Drosophila novamexicana is the source of this 580-nucleotide long non-coding RNA. RefSeq lists it as uncharacterized. The record is from RefSeq and is a predicted model, not a curated record. Lineage: Eukaryota; Metazoa; Arthropoda; Insecta; Diptera; Drosophilidae. The transcript is spliced from 2 exons.